This 259-nucleotide ribosomal RNA is filed under the name uncultured Staphylococcus sp. RNAcentral's name for it is "partial 16S ribosomal RNA". It matches the Rfam family "Bacterial small subunit ribosomal RNA", at positions 103 to 354 of the family's 1533-position model. Lineage: Bacteria; Bacillati; Bacillota; Bacilli; Caryophanales; Staphylococcaceae. The record is from RNAcentral.
CGGGUGAGUAACACGUGGAUAACCUACCUAUAAGACUGGGAUAACUUCGGGAAACCGGAGCUAAUACCGGAUAAUAUUUUGAACCGCAUGGUUCAAAAGUGAAAGACGGUCUUGCUGUCACUUAUAGAUGGAUCCGCGCUGCAUUAGCUAGUUGGUAAGGUAACGGCUUACCAAGGCAACGAUGCAUAGCCGACCUGAGAGGGUGAUCGGCCACACUGGAACUGAGACACGGUCCAGACUCCUACGGGAGGCAGCAGAG